ACUCAAAUGAAUAGACGGGGGCCCGCACAAGCAGUGGAGUAUGUGGUUUAAUUCGAAGCAACGCGAAGAACCUUACCAGGUCUUGACAUCCCGCUAACGAAGUAGAGAUACAUUAGGUGCCUUUCGGGGAAAGCGGAGACAGGUGGUGCAUGGUUGUCGUCAGCUCGUGUCGUGAGAUGUUGGGUUAAGUCCCGCAACGAGCGCAACCCUUGCCAUUAGUUGCUACAUUCAGUUGAGCACUUUAAUGGGACUGCCGUUGACAAAACGGAGGAAGGUGGGGAUGAUGUCAAAUCAUCAUGCCCCUUAUGACCUGGGCUACACACGUACUACAAUGGCCGUUAACAACGGGAAGCGAAGCCGCGAGGCGGAGCAAAUCCCCAAAAACGGUCUCAGUUCGGAUUGCAGGCUGCAACCCGCCUGUAUGAAGUUGGAAUUGCUAGUAAUCGCGGAUCAGCAUGCCGCGGUGAAUACGUUCCCGGGCCUUGUACACACCGCCCGU
This 499-nucleotide ribosomal RNA is filed under the name uncultured bacterium. RNAcentral describes it as "bacterial SSU rRNA". It matches the Rfam family "Bacterial small subunit ribosomal RNA", at positions 899 to 1397 of the family's 1533-position model. The record is from RNAcentral.